Molecule: ribosomal RNA, 321 nt
Filed under: Clostridioides difficile
Lineage: Bacteria; Bacillati; Bacillota; Clostridia; Peptostreptococcales; Peptostreptococcaceae
Description: bacterial LSU rRNA
Rfam family: Bacterial large subunit ribosomal RNA
Source: RNAcentral
UGGUCAAGUUAUUAAGGGUGCAGGGCGGAUGCCUUGGCACUAGGAGCCGAUGAAGGACGUGAUAAGCUGCGAUAAGCUUCGGGGAGUUGCACGUAAACUUUGAUCCGAAGAUUUCCGAAUGAGGAAACUCACUUAGAGUAAUGUCUAAGUAUCAUUAAGUGAAUACAUAGCUUAAUGAGGGGAACUCAGGGAACUGAAACAGCUAAGUACCUGAAGGAAGAGAAAGAAAUUCGAUUCCGUAAGUAGCGGCGAGCGAACGCGGAUUAGCCCAAACCAAUAAAGUUUUCUUUAUUGGGGUUGCGGACAUAUCAUAACGAAGAG